This 365-nucleotide ribosomal RNA is filed under the name Pyrinomonadaceae bacterium. RNAcentral describes it as "partial 23S ribosomal RNA". It matches the Rfam family "Bacterial large subunit ribosomal RNA", at positions 2548 to 2925 of the family's 2925-position model. The record is from RNAcentral. Lineage: Bacteria; Pseudomonadati; Acidobacteriota; Blastocatellia; Blastocatellales; Pyrinomonadaceae.
UGGGGCUGAAGAAGGUCCCAAGGGUUCGGCUGUUCGCCGAUUAAAAUGGUACGUGAGCUGGGUUCAGAACGUCGCGAGACAGUUCGGUCCCUAUCUGGUGUGGGCGCAGCAAAAUUGAAGGAAUCUGUCCUUAGUACGAGAGGACCGGGAUGGAUCCACCUCUAGUGUACGAGUUAUCACGCCAGUGGUAUCGCUCGGUAGCUAUGUGGAGCAUGGAUAAACGCUGAAUGCAUCUAAGCGUGAAGCCAGACCUAAGAUUAGUUUUGCCAGUGAGACUCGUGGAAGACCACCACGUAAUAGGCUGGAAAUGUAAGUGCAGUAAUGUAUUAAGUUGACCAGUACUAAUUGUCCCAAGGCUUGACCAU